CCCUUAGAUGUUCUGGGCUGCACGCGCGCUACACUGCUGCAAUUAACGGGUUUUCUGUGCUGAAAGGCUUGGGGAAUCCUUUGAAUAUGCGGCGUGAUGGGGAUAGAAUAUUGUAAUUAUUACUCUUCAACGAGGAAUUCCUAGUAAGCGCGGGUCAGCAGCCCGCGCUGAUUACGUCCCUGCCCUUUGUACACACCGCCCGUCGCUACUACCGAUUGAAUGAUUUAGUGAGGACUUCGGACUGGGACCGAUGCGGCUUUCGGGCUGCGUCGGUAUUCUGGAAAGAUGUCCAAACUGUAUCAUUUAGAGGAAGUAAAAGUCGUAACA
RNAcentral lists this ribosomal RNA (327 nucleotides) under uncultured eukaryote. RNAcentral's name for it is "partial 18S ribosomal RNA". It matches the Rfam family "Eukaryotic small subunit ribosomal RNA", at positions 1470 to 1796 of the family's 1831-position model. The record is from RNAcentral.